AAGCACAAUGGUGAAGUCAUUGUCAUCCCCAAGUCCUGCCAUGCCAAGAGGGAGGCUGCCAGUCCCAGGGGGCUACCUCACGGUCCUGGGCAGAGAUGAGACAUCUAUAAAAGGUGGGCCGGCUGAGAGCAUCCCAAAGAGCUUGCUGUCUCUACCCUCCAAUCUCUGGUGAACUCUGUUGGAAACCCAGAAUGUCUCAGCAGAAGCAGAAGCAGUACUGCCCCCCACCCCAGCCGUGUGCCCCACCCCAGCAGUGUGCCCCACCCCAGCAGUGUGCCCCACCCCAGCAGUGUGCCCCACCCCAGCAGUGUGCCCCCCAACCCCAGCAGACCAAGCAGCCUUGCCAGCCUCCUCCCAAGUGCCAGCAGAAGUGUCCACCACCCCAGCAGUGCCAGAAGUCCAAGCAGAAGUGAGCUCUCAGCUUGUGGCCAGAGGAGAAUUCCUAGGAAGACAGAACAUGAUGUCUGUCCUUGGGCAGCAUCUGGAAUUCCCUCCAGCAUCAGCCGUGUGUAUGCUCACCCCUGCUUCUGGAUGCAGCCAUUGUUCACAUUUGGAGAAGAAGCACCUAGGCUGUAGCUUCCUCAAUCUCAAGCUCUUCUUAAUUGGCAGUUGCAGUUUCCAUCCCUGACAAAGAUCUGCUUCUAAACUGUCUAAUCAUCUUUGUUGACAUGUAUCUAAAUCAUCCUGCUGGAAACCUAGGCGCCACACCCAGACGCCCUUUCUCAUCACCCUUCCCAAGCAAUUAAAAGAGAAUUACUCUGGCACCAA
RNAcentral lists this long non-coding RNA (768 nucleotides) under Meriones unguiculatus (Mongolian gerbil). Its description in RNAcentral is "lncRNA (ENSMUGG00000024757.1)". The record is from RNAcentral. Lineage: Eukaryota; Metazoa; Chordata; Mammalia; Rodentia; Muridae.